AGAAUCUCAUUUUGUCAAUAAGGUUUGUAACCUUGGUUGGGGUUUUAAAACCGGUUUCUA
Molecule: transfer RNA, 60 nt
Filed under: Dugesia ryukyuensis
Lineage: Eukaryota; Metazoa; Platyhelminthes; Tricladida; Dugesiidae
Description: tRNA-Thr
Source: RNAcentral